RNAcentral lists this ribosomal RNA (296 nucleotides) under Babesia canis. RNAcentral's name for it is "partial small subunit ribosomal RNA". It matches the Rfam family "Eukaryotic small subunit ribosomal RNA", at positions 549 to 904 of the family's 1831-position model. Lineage: Eukaryota; Apicomplexa; Aconoidasida; Piroplasmida; Babesiidae. The record is from RNAcentral.
AUUGGAGGGCAAGUCUGGUGCCAGCAGCCGCGGUAAUUCCAGCUCCAAUAGCGUAUAUUAAACUUGUUGCAGUUAAAAAGCUCGUAGUUGUAUUUUUGCGUUGACGGUUUGACCAUUUGGUUGGUUAUUUCGUUUUCGCUUUUGGGAAUUUCCCUUUUUACUUUGAGAAAAUUAGAGUGUUUCAAGCAGACUUUUGUCUUGAAUACYUCAGCAUGGAAUAAUAGAGUAGGACUUUGGUUCUAUUUUGUUGGUUAUUGAACCUUAGUAAUGGUUAAUAGGAACGGUUGGGGGCAUUC